This 253-nucleotide ribosomal RNA is filed under the name uncultured bacterium. RNAcentral's name for it is "partial 16S ribosomal RNA". It matches the Rfam family "Bacterial small subunit ribosomal RNA", at positions 524 to 776 of the family's 1533-position model. The record is from RNAcentral.
UACGAAGGGGGCUAGCGUUGCUCGGAAUCACUGGGCGUAAAGGGUGCGUAGGCGGGUCUUUCAGUCAGGGGUGAAAUCCUGGAGCUCAACUCCAGAACUGCCUUUGAUACUGAGGAUCUUGAGUUCGGGAGAGGUGAGUGGAACUGCGAGUGUAGAGGUGAAAUUCGUAGAUAUUCGCAAGAACACCAGUGGCGAAGGCGGCUCACUGGCCCGAUACUGACGCUGAGGCGCGAAGGCCAGGGGAGCAAACGGG